This 720-nucleotide small RNA is filed under the name Pan troglodytes (chimpanzee). RNAcentral's name for it is "processed transcript". The record is from RNAcentral. Lineage: Eukaryota; Metazoa; Chordata; Mammalia; Primates; Hominidae.
UAGCGCUCAGGGAAUGCUGGUCACCCCACCCUAAUCUUGUUAUGCAAAUAGGCUUCCCACUUGGCGGGUGCUGUCUUGUCCACUCGUUUCUGUACACAUGGGUGGCAAAAAGAGAAGAUGGAGCUGCCAUUUAGAACAUGCCUAAUCCCAGCUUCAUCUUGCUGAGCAAAAAUGAAGGAGCCUGGACCCAACUUUGUUACUGUGAGAAAGGGUCUUCAUUCAUUCAAGAUGGCAUUUGUUAAGCACCUACUGUGAGUAGAUGAUCUCCUGUCAAAGACAGUUAACAAAUCCUCGGAAUAUUGCUUCAUGUGCAGUUAUUGGAGAUGAGUAACUUACAUUCUCUUAAUUGUAAUGGUUCCUUGGAAAGUCAUCGUGGAAAAUGAAGGCUGGCUCAUACAUUUUCCCAGACAGGAAUUUGGCUGCCAACAGGGAAUUCUAAACAACUAAAAACUCCAGAUGAUGAACGCACAACAUAAUGAUGGUUAAAUUAAAAAAAAAAAAAAAAGAGCACGACAAACCUUGGAAAUCAAGAAAGUUCUGGAAUGAUGAAGCUGUUCAUGCCAAGACCGAAAGUGCUGGCCCAGUAUGAGUCCAUUCAGUUCAUGCCGUGACAAUUUUCUUGGAACUCCUUUUUAUUGUUAGUUCUCAUUUGUUUCCAUAUUUAGUGAAUGUACAUUUAAUUGCAAAGCUGUCAUUAAUAAAAAUUCUUAUAGUACCUCA